AACGGCGAGUGAAGCGGCAAAAGCUCAAAUUUGAAAUCUGGCUCCUUCGGGGUCCGAGUUGUAAUUUGUAGAGGAUGCUUCGGGUGUGGUCACGACCUAAGUUCCUUGGAACAGGACGUCAUAGAGGGUGAGAAUCCCGUCUUGGGCCGUUGGUCCACGCCCGUGUGAAGCUCCUUCGACGAGUCGAGUUGUUUGGGAAUGCAGCUCUAAGCGGGUGGUAAAUUUCAUCUAAAGCUAAAUAUUGGCCGGAGACCGAUAGCGCACAAGUAGAGUGAUCGAAAGGUUAAAAGCACCUUGAAAAGGGAGUUAAACAGCACGUGAAAUUGUUGAAAGGGAAGCGCUUGCGGCCAGACUCGAGCGCAGGGUUCAGCGGGUGCGUGUCACCCGUGCACUCCCUGUCGCUCGGGCCAGCAUCAGUUCUGACGGCCGGUCAAAGGCCCCCGGAAUGUGUCGUCUCUCGGGACGUCUUAUAGCCGGGGGUGCAAUGCGGCCCGUUGGGACUGAGGAACGCGCUUCGGCUCGGAUGCUGGCGUAAUGGCCGUAAGCGGCCCGUCUUGAAACACGGACCAAGGAGUCUAACAUCCACGCGAGUGUUCGGGUGUCAAACCCGUGCGCGCAGUGAAAGCGAACGGAGGUGGGAGCCUUAGGGCGCACCAUCGACCGAUCCUGAAGUCUUCGGAUGGAUUUGAGUAGGAGCGUGGCCGUUGGGACCCGAAAGAUGGUGAACUAUGCCUGAAUAGGGUGAAGCCAGAGGAAACUCUGGUGGAGGCUCGCAGCGGUUCUGACGUGCAAAUCGAUCGUCAAAUUU
RNAcentral lists this ribosomal RNA (808 nucleotides) under Arthroderma gertleri. RNAcentral's name for it is "eukaryotic LSU rRNA". It matches the Rfam family "Eukaryotic large subunit ribosomal RNA", at positions 85 to 912 of the family's 3401-position model. The record is from RNAcentral. RNAcentral also lists the same sequence under 1 other name. Lineage: Eukaryota; Fungi; Ascomycota; Eurotiomycetes; Onygenales; Arthrodermataceae.